This 502-nucleotide ribosomal RNA is filed under the name uncultured bacterium. RNAcentral describes it as "bacterial SSU rRNA". It matches the Rfam family "Bacterial small subunit ribosomal RNA", at positions 29 to 523 of the family's 1533-position model. The record is from RNAcentral.
AACGAACGCUGGCGGCGCGCUUAACACAUGCAAGUCGAACGAGAAGGCGUAGCAAUACGCUUGUAAAGUGGCGAACGGGUGAGGAAUACGUGGGUAACCUACCCUCGAGUGGGGAAUAACCAGCCGAAAGGUUGGCUAAUGCCGCGUACGCUUCCCGGUCUGUGGAUCGGGAAGGAAAGCCGUACAGAGUGUGCGGCGCUCAAGGAUGGGCUCACGUCCUAUCAGCUUGUUGGUGAGGUAACGGCUCACCAAGGCUUCGACGGGUAGCUGGUCUGAGAGGACGAUCAGCCACACUGGCACUGCGACACGGGCCAGACUCCUACGGGAGGCAGCAGUGAGGAAUAUUGCGUAAUGGGCGAAAGCCUGACGCAGCGACGCCGCGUGGGGGAUGAAGGUCUUCGGAUUGUAAACCCCUUUCGGGAGGGAAGAUGGGACGAGGCAAUCGUCCGGACGGUACCUCCAGAAGCAGCCACGGCUAACUUCGUGCCAGCAGCCGCGGUAA